Molecule: ribosomal RNA, 112 nt
Filed under: Danio rerio (zebrafish)
Lineage: Eukaryota; Metazoa; Chordata; Actinopteri; Cypriniformes; Danionidae
Source: RNAcentral
UGCCACAGCCAUGUCACCCUGCACCCCAAGACCGCUUAGCCUUCUAAGGAGGGCUGAGCCUGGUCAGUACCUGGAUGGGAGAUCAUAUGGGGAAACUAGAUUGCUGUUGGAA